RNAcentral lists this ribosomal RNA (497 nucleotides) under uncultured bacterium. RNAcentral describes it as "partial 16S ribosomal RNA". It matches the Rfam family "Bacterial small subunit ribosomal RNA", at positions 28 to 507 of the family's 1533-position model. The record is from RNAcentral.
GAUGAACGCUGGCGGCGUGCCUAAUACAUGCAAGUCGAGCGAACAGACGAGGAUCUUGCUCCUCUGACGUUAGCGGCGGACGGGUGAGUAACACGUGGAUAACCUACCUAUAAGACUGGGAUAACUUCGGGAAACCGGAUCUAAUACCGGAUAAUAUAUUGAACCGCAUGGUUCAAUAGUGAAAGACGGUUUUGCUGUCACUUAUAGAUGGAUCCGCGCCGCAUUAGCUAGUUGGUAAGGUAACGGCUUACCAAGGCAACGAUGCGUAGCCGACCUGAGAGGGUGAUCGGCCACACUGGAACUGAGACACGGUCCAGACUCCUACGGGAGGCAGCAGUAGGGAAUAUUCCGCAAUGGGCGAAAGCCUGACGGAGCAACGCCGCGUGAGUGAUGAAGGUCUUCGGAUCGUAAAACUCUGUUAUUAGGGAAGAACAAAUGUGUAAGUAACUAUGCACGUCUUGACGGUACCUAAUCAGAAAGCCACGGCUAACUACGUG